CGGGGGGCAGCAGUGGGGAAUAUUGGACAAUGGGGGCAACCCUGAUCCAGCAAUACCAUGUGUGUGAAGAAGGCCUUAGGGUUGUAAAGCACUUUAGUCAAUGAGGAAGGGUACGCAAGUACCUUGACGUUAGUUGAAGAAUAAGCACCGGCUAACUCUGUGCCAGCAGCCGCGGUAAUACAGAGGGUGCAAGCGUUAAUCGGAAUUACUGGGCGUAAAGCGCACGUAGGUGGUUUUUUAAGUUGGAUGUGAAAGCCCUGGGCUCAACCUAGGAAUUGCAUUCAAUACUGAGAGGCUAGAGUAUGAUAGAGGAUAGUGGAAUUUCCGGUGUAGCGGUGAAAUGCGUAGAUAUCGGAAGGAACAUCAGUGGCGAAGGCGACUAUCUGGAUUAAUACUGACACUGAGGAGCGAAAGCGUGGGGAUCAAACAGGAUUAGAUACCCGAGU
RNAcentral lists this ribosomal RNA (446 nucleotides) under uncultured prokaryote. Its description in RNAcentral is "bacterial SSU rRNA". It matches the Rfam family "Bacterial small subunit ribosomal RNA", at positions 342 to 791 of the family's 1533-position model. The record is from RNAcentral.